UGGGUAGUCCGCACGAGCGCACCUUGUCCCUAGUUGCCAGCAUUUCGGAUGGGAACUCUAGGGAGACUGCCGGUGAUAAACCGGAGGAAGGUGGGGACGACGUCAAGUCAUCAUGGCCCUUAUGGGCAGGGCUACACACGUGCUACAAUGGUCGGUACAGAGGGUUGCCAAGCCGCAAGGUGGAGCCAAUCCCACAAAGCCUAUCGUAGUCCGGAUCGGAGUCUGCAACUCGACUCCGUGAAGUCGGAAUCGCUAGUAAUCGCGAAUCAGCAACGUCGCGGUGAAUACGUUCCCGGGUCUUGUACACACCGCCCGUCACACCAUGGAAGUUGGUUGUACCAGAAGUCGGUAGCUUAACCUUCGGGGGGGCGCCGCCCACGGUGUGGCUAAUGACUGGGGUGAAGUCGUAACAAGGUAGCCGUACGGGAACGUGCGGCUGGAUCACCUCCUU
RNAcentral lists this ribosomal RNA (451 nucleotides) under uncultured Gammaproteobacteria bacterium. Its description in RNAcentral is "bacterial SSU rRNA". It matches the Rfam family "Bacterial small subunit ribosomal RNA", at positions 1077 to 1532 of the family's 1533-position model. The record is from RNAcentral. Lineage: Bacteria; Pseudomonadati; Pseudomonadota; Gammaproteobacteria.